CGGUGGCUAAUACCGGAUGNNGCCGAAGAGGUAANANGGCUUGCCGCCUGAGAAUGAGCANCGCGUCUGAUUAGCUAGUUGGGGGUGUAAGNGACCACCAAGGCGACGAUCAGUAGCUGGUCUGAGAGGAUGAUCAGCCACACUNGGGACUGAGACACGGCCCANACUCCUACGGGAGGCAGCAGUGGGGAAUUUUCCGCAAUGGGCGAAAGCCUGACGGAGCAAUACCGCGUGAGGGAGGAAGGCUCUUGGGUUGUAAACCUCUUUUCUCAGGGAAGAAAAAAAUGACGGUACCUGAGGAAUAAGCAUCGGCUAACUCCGUGCCAGCAGCCGCGGUAAUACGGAGGAUGCAAGCGUUAUCCGGAAUGAUUGGGCGUAAAGGGUCCGCANGUGGCACUGUAAGUCUGCUGUCAAAGAGCAAGGCUCAACCUUGUAAAGGCAGUGGAAACUACAGAGCUAGAGUACGUUCGGGGGCANANNGAAUUCCUGGUGUANCGGUGAAAUGCGUANAGAUCAGGAAGAACACCGGUGGCGAAAGCGUUCUGCUANGCCUGUACUGACACUGANGGACNANAGCUAGGGGAGCGAAUGGGAUUA
RNAcentral lists this ribosomal RNA (597 nucleotides) under Nostoc sp. CALU 1088. Its description in RNAcentral is "partial 16S ribosomal RNA". It matches the Rfam family "Bacterial small subunit ribosomal RNA", at positions 157 to 780 of the family's 1533-position model. The record is from RNAcentral. Lineage: Bacteria; Bacillati; Cyanobacteriota; Cyanophyceae; Nostocales; Nostocaceae.